RNAcentral lists this ribosomal RNA (1500 nucleotides) under Amphibacillus sp. A11. Its description in RNAcentral is "bacterial SSU rRNA". It matches the Rfam family "Bacterial small subunit ribosomal RNA". The record is from RNAcentral. Lineage: Bacteria; Bacillati; Bacillota; Bacilli; Caryophanales; Bacillaceae.
UGGAGUUUGAUCAUGGCUCAGGACGAACGCUGGCGGCGUGCCUAAUACAUGCAAGUCGAGCGCGUGAAGCUAAACCGAUUCCUUCGGGAUGACGUUUAGUGGAACGAGCGGCGGACGGGUGAGUAACACGUGGGCAACCUACCUAUAAGACUGGGAUAACUCGUGGAAACGCGAGCUAAUACCGGAUAAUACAACCGACCUCCUGGUCAGGUUGUUGAAAGGUGGCUCUUUUGAGCUAUCACUUACAGAUGGGCCCGCGGCGCAUUAGCUAGUUGGUGAGGUAACGGCUCACCAAGGCAACGAUGCGUAGCCGACCUGAGAGGGUGAUCGGCCACACUGGGACUGAGACACGGCCCAGACUCCUACGGGAGGCAGCAGUAGGGAAUCUUCCGCAAUGGACGAAAGUCUGACGGAGCAACGCCGCGUGAACGAAGAAGGUUUUCGGAUCGUAAAGUUCUGUUGUUAGGGAAGAACAAGUACCGUUCGAAUAGGGCGGUACCUUGACGGUACCUAACGAGGAAGCCCCGGCUAACUACGUGCCAGCAGCCGCGGUAAUACGUAGGGGGCAAGCGUUGUCCGGAAUUAUUGGGCGUAAAGCGCGCGCAGGCGGUUUUUUAAGUCUGAUGUGAAAUCUUGUGGCUCAACCACAAGCGGUCAUUGGAAACUGGAGAACUUGAGGACAGAAGAGGAGAGUGGAAUUCCACGUGUAGCGGUGAAAUGCGUAGAUAUGUGGAGGAACACCAGUGGCGAAGGCGACUCUCUGGUCUGUAACUGACGCUGAGGCGCGAAAGCGUGGGGAGCGAACAGGAUUAGAUACCCUGGUAGUCCACGCCGUAAACGAUGAGUGCUAGGUGUUAGGGGGUUUCCGCCCCUUAGUGCUGCAGUUAACGCAUUAAGCACUCCGCCUGGGGAGUACGGCCGCAAGGCUGAAACUCAAAAGAAUUGACGGGGACCCGCACAAGCGGUGGAGCAUGUGGUUUAAUUCGAAGCAACGCGAAGAACCUUACCAGGUCUUGACAUCCUCUGAACAUACGAGAGAUCGUGUUUUCCCUUCGGGGACAGAGUGACAGGUGGUGCAUGGUUGUCGUCAGCUCGUGUCGUGAGAUGUUGGGUUAAGUCCCGCAACGAGCGCAACCCUUAAUCUUAGUUGCCAGCAUUUAGUUGGGCACUCUAAGGUGACUGCCGGUGACAAACCGGAGGAAGGUGGGGACGACGUCAAAUCAUCAUGCCCCUUAUGACCUGGGCUACACACGUGCUACAAUGGAUGGUACAAAGGGCCGCGAAACCGCGAGGUCAAGCAAAUCCCAUAAAACCAUUCUCAGUUCGGAUUGCAGGCUGCAACUCGCCUGCAUGAAGCCGGAAUCGCUAGUAAUCGUGGAUCAGCAUGCCACGGUGAAUACGUUCCCGGGUCUUGUACACACCGCCCGUCACACCACGAGAGUUGGCAACACCCGAAGUCGGUGAGGUAACCUUUUAGAGCCAACCGCCGAAAAGUGGAUU